Long non-coding RNA from Pogoniulus pusillus (Red-fronted tinkerbird), 443 nucleotides. RefSeq lists it as uncharacterized. Lineage: Eukaryota; Metazoa; Chordata; Aves; Piciformes; Lybiidae. The record is from RefSeq and is a predicted model, not a curated record. The transcript has 3 exons.
GCCCACUCCCCCUUAUAAUCUGCCCUAGGGGAAGCAGAAUCUUCAAGCUUGCCCAACUGGGCAAAGGGAUCCUCCUUGGAUCGUCACUGGUGCUUACUUAGGCUGAGCUCCUCUCUGAUUAGCUGCUGCUUGCUUGCAAAACUGUACAAAGAGCAGGAAGAAAUCUGCAGAACGUCUUGAGAAGCAUCAAAGCAGCGUGGAGGAGAUGCUGGAGAACCUCAAGCAAGGAAACCAGAGUAAAACUCAACUUUCAUUGGUACUCUUUUACAUCAGAGACUUGCUAUGUAAAGAUUUGUUCUCCAGAGGAAUGGUCAUGCUGCACAAGGAUUCCUUUUUCCAAACAAGACUCUUCUGUGCCACAAAAUCCUAUGAGAGCUGUGACAUGUGGAAUUUUGCCAAAUUAGCUCAAACCUCUUUAAAUGAAGCACCAGAAUAGUUACUUC